Molecule: long non-coding RNA, 1240 nt
Organism: Bubalus bubalis (water buffalo)
Lineage: Eukaryota; Metazoa; Chordata; Mammalia; Artiodactyla; Bovidae
Exons: 5
Source: RefSeq, a predicted model, not a curated record
UGAGUGUUCUGAGGGGAGGAGUCUAGAGCCUACGCCUGAGCGGCGCUGUCCCCCGACUUUGUGGGAGCGCGCCUGAUGUAGGUGGGGUCCGGCAGAGUGUCCCAUUCACUAACUCUGCAGUUCUAAAGAGAGGCAUUUUUAGACGGGUGAUUUGGAGUCGGCUUUUUUUCUUAUGAGGAAAUGGUGUCGGGAUAAGUUGGCAUUGUGGUUUAAAUUUUCGUCGAUUUAAUUUAUCCAAGCCCAGAUUCCCAAACCCUAGGGAGUAGGCGGGUCCACCUCCUCUAGCGUUAUGGGGCAUAACCUGUGCUAUUUAGUACAAGAUCUCUAAUUGAGAUCUCUAGAUAGGAUCCUGCCGGCCAGAGGGUGGGGUCCAGGAGAGAUAGUGGGGAGUGUGCCAGUUCAAUGGAGUAAUGAUGGAUUUGUUGCUGGAGCUGAGCCACUGUAGGGCCUCCGGUUACUUUCUCUUUACAGAUACCUAUUGUUGCCCACACUUAACGGGAGAGAAAUUCUUACAUACUGGUCAAGAUGUGCAUCAGUCAAAUGGUGCUGAGCAUAAUUCAAAGAUGAAGACAAUUUACUUCCUGUUUCCCAGGAGCUCACAAUCUAGCGAUGGAGGAAAAUACAGUCUCCUAAGUUGGUGUUUUUUCCAUUAUUUCAUACCACCUCUCUUGGACCUUUUAAGGACCACGUGGAGUAUGCAAUGGAUGUUUUUUCCAAGAAAGGGUUACUAGCAGACAAGAACAAUGUGCUAACCACCAGUCGUUAAGGGGCCUGACAAAGAGAAUGGUAAUGAUAAUUUCUAAAGCAACUGUGAAAUGAUGCACUGAUGUGGAGCUUCUAGAAGCAAAGUAUAAUGUUAGAGGUUCACUUCUAAAUAAUAUGGACUAAGAAAAAUUUUGUUUUUCAAAACAGCCAUUCAGUUUGUGGUAAUUUGUUAUGAAACAGUAGAAAACUACUCCAGGAUAAAUAUCCUUAUCUUCCCUCUGCCGGUUGAGAACCACGAAUCUAGGUAGGUCCUGGAAAAACAAGUGUAACACAUCAGCAGGUGCUGUUUGCUCUCUGAAGUCCUUGAAUGCACUUGGGAAUAAAUGUCACCCUGGAAAUGAACGUUAUGGUAUGAUGUAACAGAAGAAAAAACAGUGAGUUCAGAAAAAAGAAAAAGCUGUAACAUGAAUUUAAAAUGUGAAAGAAGUACCUUGCUUCACAUACACUCACACACACAGUACACCUAAAAUUCAAC